Molecule: ribosomal RNA, 97 nt
Filed under: Caerostris darwini
Lineage: Eukaryota; Metazoa; Arthropoda; Arachnida; Araneae; Araneidae
Source: RNAcentral
CUGAAUAUACCGGUUCUCGUUAGAUCACCGAAGUCAAGCAUCAUUGGGCACGGUCAGUACUUGGGUGGGUGACCACCUGGGAAAACACCGCGUGCCG